This 481-nucleotide ribosomal RNA is filed under the name uncultured bacterium. Its description in RNAcentral is "bacterial SSU rRNA". It matches the Rfam family "Bacterial small subunit ribosomal RNA", at positions 30 to 507 of the family's 1533-position model. The record is from RNAcentral.
UUGAACGCUGGCGGCAUGCCUUACACAUGCAAGUCGAACGGCAGCACGGGAGCAAUCCUGGUGGCGAGUGGCGAACGGGUGAGUAAUAUAUCGGAACGUGCCCGGUCUGGGGGAUAACGGUAGCGAAAGCUACGCUAAUACCGCAUACGAUCUACGGAUGAAAGCGGGGGAUCGCAAGACCUCGCGCGAUUGGAGCGGCCGAUAUCAGAUUAGGUAGUUGGUGAGGUAAAGGCUCACCAAGCCGACGAUCUGUAGCUGGUCUGAGAGGACGACCAGCCACACUGGGACUGAGACACGGCCCAGACUCCUACGGGAGGCAGCAGUGGGAAUUUUGGACAAUGGGCGCAAGCCUGAUCCAGCAAUGCCGCGUGCAGGAUGAAGGCCUUCGGGUUGUAAGCUGCUUUGUACGGAACGAAACGGUGAGCUCUAAUACAGUUUGCUAAUGACGGUACCGUAAGAAUAAGCACCAGCUAACUACGUG